RNAcentral lists this small RNA (714 nucleotides) under Rattus norvegicus (Norway rat). RNAcentral describes it as "uncharacterized LOC103692322". Lineage: Eukaryota; Metazoa; Chordata; Mammalia; Rodentia; Muridae. The record is from RNAcentral.
AUGUGUGCACAUGCACUUGCAUGCAUCCGCCAAUACAUGUUCUACAACCUGCAUCAAACAUUUCUGUUGAUGGGUAGGUGAAAACAAGCCUGUGUAAAGACCAGAAGACCAAGCCCAUGUAAAGACCAGAAGACCAAGUUAUUAAAGGCAUUUGUAAUAGUACUAUUUCUUUCCUACAAAUAAAACAACAGGUCACUUUUUUGAUACAAGAAAUAGCUCUACAUAUUUGCUCCCUCUACAGAAUCAUCUUGAUCUUGAUAUUUCUAAAGUUCCCCUGGACCUUCCCAUAUUAUAGUUCUUUAGUGGCUUUUAUCUGGAAUGACAUCAGAGUUCCCCUGGUUGUACAUGGCAGGUCCCAUUCUCCAUGUUGAUCUCUCGCUUUCUCUUUUAGUUGAAGCUCAUGUCCUCUUGAUUUGGCCUGCAACAUGGCUUUCAACUUAGCCAUUUAUUUACAGUCUAAAACCCACUGGUGGCUUCUUUAACGCCCCACGAAAGGGGUGUACCAACACCAGAGAUGUUGUAACCUCAGCUCAUGGAAUAUAUGGUGCAAGCUCCGAUCCCAUCUUCCAGAUCCCCAAUCUGUUUGCUCUAUUGUCCUCAGAUAGAGGGCACAUCAAAUAUUAAACUGGUUCUUAAGACGCAGCUUAAUCGGUCAGAACAAGGACUUACCCACGUUCCCAGCCAGCAGUAUCCUGCAGCACGAGUCCGUGUACA